AAGCGCCGCGGGCGGGGGCCGGAGGACCCGGGUCCGGCGGGAGGGCUCGCGCGGGUGCGCCCUGCCGUGGGAAGGUCGGUUUGGGGGCUCCUGUCUUCGCUGCUCUCCCCUGCAGAUCCCCAAGGGCAUCUGGACGCCUGGAAGGGCCGAUCCUGGAGCCGAGGCUGAAGGCUGGAAUUGGGAGGGGGGAGCGGAGGGAGAAGACUGCCGCGCACCGUGAGCCGCUCCAUUGCCGGAUCCCCGUGUGACCGCCCACAUCCCACGCCCCGGCAGGCCCACCCUCCUUCCAGCCAAACCCUUCUCUGCGCCGGUCCCGCGGCCGCCGGAGAGGCGAGGAGGGCUGGAGAAAGGAAGACUCCAUUCCCCGCUUCGUCCUCUGUGGGACAUCAAAGGUGUCAGCUUUCGCUUUUUUAGGGUGAAGCGUAUUUGCGGAGUUUCACAGCUGCCCGUUAUUCUUCCCUUCUGAGCAUCCGGACAACCCUGAGGAGUGCGCAGAGGGGCUUCGGUCAGCCCCGGCCCCCAGAGCGUGGUCGGGGUGCUCAUUGCCCGCUUAAGUGUAGAGUGUACCUAACUGUUCACGCUGAGGCAGAGGGUCAGGUUAAGGGACUUUUGACCUGAAGGCAAGUGGCAGUGAGGGGCAAGAAGAACUGGGGCCUCCGGACCCUCAGACAGGGCUAUUUGCCACCAUCUAUGCUGAACAUAGUCCAGAGGCUCAGAAGGGUCUUCCUGGGGUCAUCCUUCAUCUUUCAGGUUCUGGAGCUUACGAGAAAGCGUCCCGAGCAAGCCUGAUUCCCACCAACCCUUCUUUUUUUUCAUCUGCCUGGCACUGAAGUUGGACUCUCCCAGAGAAGAAGCCAAAGAACAACAAAAAACAAAAAACAGAAAAACUCUCCAUUACCUGAGGGAACAUACUACCGCAGAUAACUGAUUUCCCUCAUAUCAUUUCAAGGGCAAGCAGACUAUACCAGUUCCCCCAGAGGAAGUGACCUGGCUGAGCAGGUGAAAAGGAGGUGGAAGAACUAAGGAAACACAUUUCUUAGCGCUGUUGCUUCCUCAUUCCAUGGACUUGAGUGCCUUUUGUUUCUUCCUCUAAAUUAUGCAUAAUUACUCCUGACUAGCGGAAUUACUGGGAAUCACCAUUUGUCAUAUGCUUGGAUUCUGUGACUUUUGCAGGAAAUGGACCAAAGCAAAGGAGUGAAGCUUAAUUUUGUGAAACAGCGGUUGUUUCUCCAGAUGACAGCCAGAUGCAGUCAGGGCCACCCAGAGAUCUUACCUAGAAGCUGCAGAUACCAGUGAGAACCACCCCCUUCAGACUUAACUGGACUCAGUGUUAACAGGAUUCAUGUAUACUCCGUUCUCAGGAGCAGCAGCCAGGCACCAUGGCCUGGAGAAGAGACCUGGGGAGGAACCAAGAAUCGGCCAAAGCAGGUCAGGCUAAGGUGCUUUAGCAAACAGCCCAGACAGCUCUAGAAGUCCAGAUCCUCUGCCUGAGUUACCAGCCCUGUGACCAGGCAGGGAACAACCUGUGAAGUGUUAGUAAUUUGUGCUUAUAGUUCUGUCCCCUGCAGUUGUAAAACAGAUAAAAUGCAGGGCCCAGAAACCUCCAGCACACAGCAUCAGUUCAGUCCUCACUGCCCUAACCAGUUCUUUCCCCUGAGCUGACACCUCCUUGCGCACUGUUGUCUCUUUGAAGCUUUGUGUUUAUUGUGCAUUUUGCUCAGCACAGGAGUUAGUGUCAGAGUGCCUCGGUUAAAACCUGCCUCAUCAAUUCCUAACUGGGUGAUCUCAGGUCUGCUUAACCCAUCCAUGCCUCCGUUUCCUCAUCCAGGAAAUGGAUGAUGCUGUCUACCUCGCUGAAUGUACAGGACCAUGCAGUCACUCAACGAAUGGGUUCUGAGUACCCGCUAGGCACUCAUGGUGCUAGGUGCCAUCCCAGGUCCUCAGAGUACAUCUGUGAACACAGUUGGCUGGGGUGGGGCAAACAGCAAAAUCUACAUGAUCUGCUAUGUUUGAUCCACGCUGCAGAGGGAAAAGGAGGUGGAGCGGCCUCAGGUAUCAGCGGUGCUGGGACGCGCUAGUGAUGGUCACAAUAUUAAAGAAGAGGUCAGGGCAGGUUCCAUUGUGAUGGUGACAUCUGAGAUGAGGGAGUUGAUCAAGCUGAAGCCUAGGUGAGAACAGGGUCCCAGGUGGAGGACACAGUGACAACAAAGGCAACAAAGGUACGGAAGUUCAGUGAGGCAGCCAGUGAGUGAGGGCAGUGGGGUGUUAGUUUAGGAUGGAGGUUGGGAUGGGGGACAACUGGAGGCCAUGAGAAGGUGCUUUCCUUGACUCCAGAUGGGACUGUGACAAAUCCCACAAGUGAAGCAACAGAAAGAGAACCCUGAAUGUAAACCCUGCUCGAGGACCAUCAAGCCACCUCACACUGAUGUGUACAUUUCAUUUGGGUUAUAGUAUGUUGCGGAUAUGAAAUGUUUGCUGUGCCACCAAUCGCUUCAACUUUGGGGAGACCAGAAGUGGACAGAAGAUCCUGGCUUCUAGAAGUUGGAAGGGGAACCAGAUAAUAAAUAAAUGGCUUUGCAGUA
Non-coding RNA from Vicugna pacos (alpaca), 2582 nucleotides. Lineage: Eukaryota; Metazoa; Chordata; Mammalia; Artiodactyla; Camelidae. The record is from RefSeq and is a predicted model, not a curated record.